This 703-nucleotide ribosomal RNA is filed under the name uncultured Bacteroidales bacterium. RNAcentral describes it as "bacterial SSU rRNA". It matches the Rfam family "Bacterial small subunit ribosomal RNA", at positions 28 to 723 of the family's 1533-position model. The record is from RNAcentral. Lineage: Bacteria; Pseudomonadati; Bacteroidota; Bacteroidia; Bacteroidales.
GAUGAACGCUAGCGACAGGCUUAACACAUGCAAGUCGAGGGGCAGCACGAUGUAGCAAUACAUUGGUGGCGACCGGCGCACGGGUGAGUAACGCGUAUGCAACCUACCUAUCAGAGGGGAAUAACCCGGCGAAAGUCGGACUAAUACCGCAUAAAACAGGGGUUCCACAUGGAAAUAUUUGUUAAAGAAUUAUCGCUGAUAGAUGGGCAUGCGUUCCAUUAGAUAGUUGGUGAGGUAACGGCUCACCAAGUCCACGAUGGAUAGGGGUUCUGAGAGGAAGGUCCCCCACACUGGUACUGAGACACGGACCAGACUCCUACGGGAGGCAGCAGUGAGGAAUAUUGGUCAAUGGGCGAGAGCCUGAACCAGCCAAGUCGCGUGAAGGAUGAAGGAUCUAUGGUUUGUAAACUUCUUUUAUAUGGGAAUAAAGUGAGGAACGUGUUCCUUUUUGUAUGUACCAUAUGAAUAAGCAUCGGCUAACUCCGUGCCAGCAGCCGCGGUAAUACGGAGGAUGCGAGCGUUAUCCGGAUUUAUUGGGUUUAAAGGGUGCGUAGGUGGUUAAUUAAGUCAGCGGUGAAAGUUUGUGGCUCAACCAUAAAAUUGCCGUUGAAACUGGUUGACUUGAGUAUAUUUGAGGUAGGCGGAAUGCGUGGUGUAGCGGUGAAAUGCAUAGAUAUCACGCAGAACUCCGAUUGCGAAGGCA